RNAcentral lists this long non-coding RNA (1961 nucleotides) under Marmota monax (woodchuck). Lineage: Eukaryota; Metazoa; Chordata; Mammalia; Rodentia; Sciuridae. The record is from RNAcentral.
GCCACUCAGAGCCCGGCCGCGGCGCGGGGGGGAGCGGACGAGGGAAAUUUGAAAUCACUCCGGGAGCCUCCCUCGGCCCCUCCUCCGCGGGCGCCGCCUCUCGUCCCCAAAGGCCUGUUAAAUCACCGACGGGGAUAACCAGCCUGAAGGGGACUGCAGAUACCCAACUCUCCUCCUUAUCCAGCCCCCCCACCCCACCCCAGACAGAUCUGGAUGCGGGGCCCAGAGACGGAAAGGCCCCCUCUGAAGUCACACAGCAAGCAGUCUCCGCUUCACCCUCACCUCCAGUCAGUCGCAGUGCCACUGGGGCGCUGCUAUGCCUCUGCAGGUCACCCCGCUGUGGACCCUCUAACUAGCCCUUCCUCCCUUCCACCCAGCUAGGUCUUUGUCAGCCAUCUUUAGCGUAGGGGAGGGGAACGGAGAGAAGAGGCCAUCAGGCCUCUGGCUGCCUGGGUUCCCAGGCUCUGCACACAUCCUCUCCCUGAGGAAGAAGCCCGACUCCAUGAGCACGUCUUGUUGCCUCUGCCGUUAAAUGGCCAUUGUAUUAUCUGAAAAUGGUGCUUCCUAAUAUUACCGUACCUAGUAUUUAUAUUUAUUUAUUUCCUUUAUCUGCUAAUUGUCUCCAUGUGUUAGACUGAGGACAGGAUCAAAGUAGACGCUCAAUAAAUAAGUCUUAAACCAGACAUGGUGGCACAUGCCUGUAAUCCCAGGGUCUCCAGAAGCUGAAUUAGGAGAACUGCAAGUCAAGGCCAGCUUCAGCAACUUAGUGAGGCCCUAAGCAACUUGGUGAGACCCAAUCUCAAAAUUAAAAAUAAAUAAAUAAAUAAAAAGGGCUCGGGAUGUGGCUCAGUGGUUAAGUGCCCUGGGUUCAAGCCCCCAUAUUAAAAAUAAAUGUGUUAAGUGAAUACAGGAAUGAUUGACAGGAGAGUCUACAAGACCCUGUAAUGAGCUAAUGCUGCCUACCUCUUCAGGUAUCUCCUGCCCUCUCCCCUCGCUGACUCCAUUCCAAUCUUCCCUCCUCUUUGCUGUUUGCAGUUUGGACUUGCGCGGCUGUUCCUUCUACCUGGACAUUCUUUUCCCAGAGCACUGCAUGACAAACUUCUCACCACUCAGUUCUCUCCCAAAAGGUCACCUUCCGGAGAAGCUCUUCCCGACUGCCCCACCGAACCACCUCCCCUCUCCAUCACUACUUUUCUAUUUCAUUCUGAUCAGGUAGCUCUUAGAGCUGGCUGAAAUUGAUUUGCAUAUUUCUUUUCUUGUUUACAGGGUUCUACAUACACAUUGUAAAGUUCAUUCUAAAAAGGCAGGAACUACAUCUGUCUAUCUGGGGUUGAUGCAAAUUUUCUUUCUAGUAAUGAUGGGGGGAGGGGAAGCCCAGUACCAAAAGGAGCUGGAUACAAGUUUGUUGAAUGAAUGAAGGAACACAGAUUUCCUGCCUUUGGGGCUCUAGGUCUGAGUAAACCCAGCUUUCUCCUUGCCGUGUGUGUGUGUGUGUGUGUGUGUGUGUGUGUGUGUCUUUCUGUCUGGGGCUUGAACCCAGGGCUCACUCGUGCAGGGCAAGCUCUCUACCAAUGAAGUACGUGCCCAGCUCAGCCCUUUUAUAAAUUUGACUUUUUGGCAGUAUUUCACUAAAUNCUGAGGGGGAGGAGCAGCAGGAAAUUCUUGGUGUUGGGGACAAACACCCAAAAGUAUGUUCCCGCCAGGCUUGGUGGCAUCUGCCUAUAAUCCCAGUGAUUCAAGAGGCUGAAACAAGAGAAUGGCAAAUUGGUUGUCAGUGUGGGCAAUUUAGUGAGACUCUGUCUCAAAAUAAAAAUAAAAAUUUCUGGGGUUAUAGAUUAAUGGUAGAGCACUGUGGAUUCAAUCCCCAGUACAAAAAUAAAAUAAAGUGUAUUAUUCUGGUCAAUUGCUACAGGAAGACCAAUAAAGAUGAUAAAGAGGAUCUCUUCUCUCUAGCUUGCGCU